Oryzias latipes (Japanese medaka) is the source of this 785-nucleotide long non-coding RNA. RefSeq lists it as uncharacterized. NCBI's taxonomy places the organism in Eukaryota, Metazoa, Chordata, Actinopteri, Beloniformes, Adrianichthyidae. The record is from RefSeq and is a predicted model, not a curated record.
CUCAAAUUAUUGUUCACAUUUAUGUUUAAUAAAUGGGUACAUUUAUUUCUUAUUUGUAUUUUGCAGUUUUGGUUCUACAUGAUGAUGAUUUUUUGCACAGUUUCAUCUCAGCCGACAAUUUCUUCUGCUCUCAAAAAGUAUUGGAGGUGGUGCAGCGUCCACAUCCCAAGAUGUUCCUGACUUCACUGAGUAUGCCAUCUAAGAGGCUCCAAGAGAGGCGUGUAUGGAAGGGGAGCCUACUGGAUCCAAAAUUCCACCUACCGGUACCUCAAACCCAGUUGGUCCAGCUGAAUGACCAACCACACUCUUAGAUCCAACGCCAAACGGGCAGAACGCAGAAAGUUCCGGCAGCAGGAGUCGGUCUUCCUGGCCGUGUGGUCUGCAGUUAAAGGCGGAGCAUCAAAGAGGCGAGGGAAGCUGCCGCGCUGCCACCACGGACAUUUGCUUCUUCCUCAGUUAAGUCUCUGCUACCAAAGUGAAGAUGUCCAGCUGCGUCGUCCCGCUCGUCUCCACUGAUCUCCCCAAAACAAACGCCGCCAUGAUCACUUCAGAAAAAGCUGCUGCGCAUUUCUGUGGCCUCAGUUCAGAGGAAGCAGCAGCAUGUUUGCCCCCUUCCUCUUCAGGACGUCAGAGUCUUCAUCAGUGGACGGCUGUGACCUUCUGGAUUCAACUGCUUAGUGCUGAGAGCUUGAAGCAAUAAGCAGAAUUUAAAGCUUUUUCCUGUAAAUCUACAAGUUCAGGCUGUAUGGAGUCCCUUCAGAAUGAAGUCAGCACUGCUCUGCAUG